GAUGAACGCUGGCGGCGUGCCUAAUACAUGCAAGUCGAGCGAACGGACGAGAAGCUUGCUUCUCUGAUGUUAGCGGCGGACGGGUGAGUAACACGUGGAUAACCUACCUAUAAGACUGGGAUAACUUCGGGAAACCGGAGCUAAUACCGGAUGAUAUUUUGAACCACAUGGUUCAAAAGUGAAAGACGGUCUUGCUGUCACUUAUAGAUGGAUCCGCGCUGCAUUAGCUAGUUGGUAAGGUAACGGCUUACCAAGGCAACGAUGCAUAGCCGACCUGAGAGGGUGAUCGGCCACACUGGAACUGAGACACGGUCCAGACUCCUACGGGAGGCAGCAGUAGGGAAUCUUCCGCAAUGGGCGAAAGCCUGACGGAGCAACGCCGCGUAAGUGAUGAAGGUCUUCGGAUCGUAAAACUCUGUUAUUAGGGAAGAACAUAUGUGUAAGUAACUGUGCACAUCUUGACGGUACCUAAUCAGAAAGCCACGGCUAACUACGUG
This 497-nucleotide ribosomal RNA is filed under the name uncultured bacterium. RNAcentral's name for it is "partial 16S ribosomal RNA". It matches the Rfam family "Bacterial small subunit ribosomal RNA", at positions 28 to 507 of the family's 1533-position model. The record is from RNAcentral.